GGGUGAUUAGCUCAGUUGGUAGAGCAGCUGACUCUUAAUCAGCGGGUCGGGGGUUCGAAUCCCUCAUCACCCACCA
RNAcentral lists this transfer RNA (76 nucleotides) under Hyphomonadaceae bacterium. RNAcentral describes it as "tRNA-Lys". It matches the Rfam family "tRNA". Rfam says of the family: Transfer RNA (tRNA) molecules are approximately 80 nucleotides in length. Their secondary structure includes four short double-helical elements and three loops (D, anti-codon, and T loops). RNAcentral also lists the same sequence under 1 other name. Lineage: Bacteria; Pseudomonadati; Pseudomonadota; Alphaproteobacteria; Hyphomonadales; Hyphomonadaceae. The record is from RNAcentral.